Molecule: long non-coding RNA, 1126 nt
Organism: Astatotilapia calliptera (eastern happy)
Lineage: Eukaryota; Metazoa; Chordata; Actinopteri; Cichliformes; Cichlidae
Source: Ensembl
CUUUUUCAAACAAAUGUGUUUAUCUACACACCUCUGCCUCACCAGCCCUUUCUGCUGGCUGUUUUAAUGAGAUAUAGGAUAUGCAUGGUACAUGUCCAAGUUGAAAGAAUCAGUCACUGGUGGCAACAGUGCUGAUCCAUCAAGGAUAGCACCUUUUACCCUGAAAAUUCUGCUGACUCAGGAGGACAAUUAACACCUCGACAGCCUGGGUCAGAAAUGAGCUGAAGAUUUCUCCCUUGUGGACGGCGUGGUCGGCCGCAGAGCCGCAGCGCUCUUUGCUGAUGUGUCGGUCUGUGUACUCGGGUGUGUGCGUUAGUCAGUAUGUGUGUGUGUUUAAGAGAGAGAAAUGAGAAGGAAGGGUUUUGUGACUGUGUGAGUGGGGUGUUUGCUGUGAGUUUCUGUGGUCUCUGUGUGUGUGUGUGUGUGUGUGUGUGUGCAGCGCUGACAGGCAGUGAGAGGUGUUCAGGUAGGUGCUCCGCAGGGUAAUUAUGCACGACCUCUGGAGAUUUCACACUAGGGCAUUGUGGGUAUUUUUGUUUGUUUUAGCCAUUUCCUUUCCUUUUCUUUUUUUUUUUUGCUUAUAGUCGUUCACAUGAAUGAAAUAUCAAAUGUACCUCAGAGGCUCAUGCUAGGUUUAAAAGAGCAUUCAUCUGCAUAUUAGGAUUGAUGCUAGAGGGAAAUGUGAUCACGUCUCCGGACUCCAGACACACGUUUCUGAAAUUAAUAUGCGCUCGAUAGGCUGAGAAGAGGUUUCAUGAAUAUUCAUCAGGCUUAAUGUGGAUGUCUGCAACUGAUAUCACCGUCGAUUAGAAUAAAACAUCCUUAAUGUUCUUAAUUGGCCAGAGUCCCAUAACUGCAUAAGGUUUUCAUCUUAUAAACAUUUGACGUGUCCAAUUCAAAUCCUACAGCCUAACCUCAGAAUACUAAAUCUCCUGACCUUUGAUCAAGGCAAUUAACCCGCUCUAUCAAUUAUCAAAUGAAGCAUAACAUGGCAGAUUCGCAUUCACGUGCAGAGUCAAGAGUCCAUCUUGACUUAUCUCACUCAAUUUCCUUCUCAAGGGCCGCAGUACACUGAAAAAGCGAAAGUACAUAGACUACUUUUAUAAAUACAUAAUUAUUCUGUUAU